UCAGCCGCGUAGGAUAGGAUACAGAAAUACAGCAGAGAAAAUAUCGGUUUACCAGCCACUUGCAGAAAUUCUUAAAGUUACAGAAAGAGACGAUUGUUACGACAAGUCAGAGAUGGCGGACCCGCUUCGAAUCAUCUACGGAUUGCUAUUGUUUAUGUAUCUAAAAAUGGAUCCAGAACACAAAGACUAAGUCUAUGAGGAAAAUAAAGUUUUAGAUCAACGACUAAAAAUUUUCAAGAACAGAUAAAAUAUGAGAUAGAGAUUAUGAUAGAACUGGUAUGAAAGGUGACAGUAGAACAUUGAAAUAAUUUGAAAGAAACAAGUUGGCAAAGAUAUAUAUCACCUGCAUAGGAAGAGCAAUGGAAAAUAACAUUGAAGCAGAAUUAUGAAACAGUUAUUUUAAAAAAAACAUUAAAUUGAGAGAGAGAAAAACUCAUUUUUUUACUUUUUAAUGCUGUUCAUUCUUAAGAUUACUGUUUAUUGUAUUUCGAUGGAAGUUAUUGCAGUUGAUAAGAAGAUAGAACAAAAAUUUGAGUUCUUCAGCUUGUUUUAUGCAGUCAAUAAAAAUUAAUUUUGAAAAGCAAACCAUAUAUGUUCAAAAAUCAAAAAGGUUAAUUAUGUACCAAAUGACCUCCGUCAGACAUUAAUCAGUCUGUUGGAAAUCUUUCUUUAAAUUUUUAUGCUUAUUUUACAAAAUGUACCUUUGUUUGUAUGUCUGUAAGAUUCAAAUCAAUCAGAGAUUUCUGAGGAACUACAAACCAAGAGUUUCUGAAAGU
Molecule: long non-coding RNA, 776 nt
Organism: Mytilus trossulus (common blue mussel)
Lineage: Eukaryota; Metazoa; Mollusca; Bivalvia; Mytilida; Mytilidae
Exons: 3
Source: RefSeq, a predicted model, not a curated record